Long non-coding RNA from Cinclus cinclus, 1204 nucleotides. RefSeq lists it as uncharacterized. The record is from RefSeq and is a predicted model, not a curated record. The transcript has 5 exons. NCBI's taxonomy places the organism in Eukaryota, Metazoa, Chordata, Aves, Passeriformes, Cinclidae.
AUCAGGGGCACGUAAAGGAGAGGUGUGGGCAGUUGCUCGCUCUCUCAUUCGUUUGGCUUAGGAAAGGACGGCCGCUGGAAAACCUCGCCCUGCCAUCCCAACGACGGGAGCUGCCUUUCGUCGGCUGUGGGACCCCACACCCCACUGUUCGGACGCCCUCCUGCUUCAGUCUGCCAACUCUAAGCAUCCUGUUGGAGCACCGGGACCGACACUGCCCCCAAGGAUCCCUUUAUAUGCUGAGCACACCACCACAUGAUAUGGACUAUCCCUUGGGUGAAUUGGAUUCAGCUGCCCCAGUUGUGUCCCCCUUGUGUUCGUCCAGCUCCCUCGGUGGUGGGGUGGCGUGAGCGGAAGAAAAGACCUUGGCGCCCUAAUGAGAACGGCAAAUCAAGACUCUUGAUGUCACUGGGAAGUGUGCCUCUGCUUGGGUGACCUCUACAUCUGGCCGAGGGAUAAAUCCCUGCAUCCACUGGGUGACAGCUAUGCUAUAUACUUCAUUUACAACUGGCUAAUUAGUAGAAGAGGCCCCAGGGAUUUGGCAGUAUUUGGGAAGCUUGUUGUGCCAUCACGGACAGUGGCCAACCAAGGCCAAGUUCUGCACUGACUGCCUUUCCCUCUCAUGGGAACAACUGGAGAAGGCACUGCACUGGUAGAAAAAACAAUGCUCAAAAGCAUGACAUAAACUGACAUAUUUCCCCUCUACAGCAGUACCCCAUCAAGUAUUACUUAUUUAAGACUGAUGAGAUAUUCAGUUAUUUUCAGGACUUUUUCUGAAUUCUGCUUAUUAAGGAGCACCAACAUCCAGUCCUCUUGAAGAUUUAAUCCCUUGAUUCUUCAAGAAUACUUAGUUUUUCUGGAUGCAAGGAAAAAAACCACAUUUUAUCUGCCUUUUCCACUUCACAGUGAAAUCAGUCUACAUUUUUACCCCAACACUCUUUAUCUUCUAAGACUUUAUAUCUAUCAGUAAAAAAAAAAAAAAAAAAAAAAAGCAGCAACUUUUAAAUGUAAAUGGUGAAUUUUUUGAGGUUCACGUAUUUGGCUCUGAUUGUCUGGCCAACAACUUUAAGCUGUGUUGUUCUUCCAAGCUGCAAGGCUCUUGAGACAGGGCCUAUGUCUCCCUCCAGGUACUGUAAAUGUCAAUCACACAGAGUGUUCAAUAAAUGAAUAAUGAUGGUUUUCUUACUGCUUUAUGAUGAUAUGUUUC